Pseudoliparis swirei is the source of this 1377-nucleotide long non-coding RNA. RefSeq lists it as uncharacterized. Lineage: Eukaryota; Metazoa; Chordata; Actinopteri; Perciformes; Liparidae. The record is from RefSeq and is a predicted model, not a curated record. The transcript is spliced from 2 exons.
ACGACUUAAGGUUUUGAUAUCCUCAGAAACCCGACAGCCACGUUUUCCUCGACACACCCUGGUGACGGUCCGGGACUCCGCCGCAGUAAACUCCGCUGGACGUCCAGACGGGUCGGCCGAGCUGGAGCAGCUCCCCGGCCGGUGGUCAAGGAAUAUGUGAAGCUAAAGCGGACAGAGGAAGGAGAAGGAGUCUCCGUCAAAGCCGGCUGUCCGUCACUCCGGCCCGGUUGGAACUCUCCACGUCUCCGGCUGACGCCCUCACACUCGGCCCCCAAAUGGCUGACGCACGGCAGUUCUUCACUGGCAAGCUUUAUGUUCCCGUACACAUGCUAAAGCUGCCAGCUGAAGAACUGCUCUGGUCAGCGCUGCCGCGGAUGACUCGAGAUGAGGAAGCGGAGAAGAAGGCGGAGGAAAAAGUGUUUCUCACGCUCAGUCAGACCGGCCAGUGUUUAUAAUCUGGUUUUAAACACAUGUACGGUGUGUUUUAUUUGAGGCAAUAGAGCAAUUACGUUUAUUCUCAUUUUUAUCCUCACAAAAACCUGCUUACAUUUUGUCAUGUUUUGCUUUCUCAGUGAAGAACACAUUAUUUUCUCAGACUAUUUUUGCUCUUUUUUGUGUGGAAAAAAAACCCACACGCACAAAUAAGCACACGAUAGAUUUAUCAAAAAAUCACUUUUAACUUUAAAGUCUGGUGAUAGAUAGAUAGAUAUAUACUUUAUUAAUCCCCAAGGGGAAAUUUGUCGAGACAGUAGCAGCAACACACAAGAAUAAAAAACAAAACACAAAAUAUAAGAAACAGGGAUGAAAGAUAUAUAAGUGUACAAGUAAGAUAAAGUAAAAUACAAAACAAAAUAUAUAUGUAAUAUACAACACACAUGCAUACACAACACACAACAACACUGACAAAUCAAAUACAAAAAUAUUAAAUAUAGACAGAGUGCAAAAAGCAAAGAUGCAAUAAACAGACAGUGGGAAAGAUCAGAGUAAAUUCUGAUGUUUGAAUGUAAAAGUGUCCUUAGAUAUGCAAUAACUUCUGAAUGUGGUGUUUGUUCUCACAUUAACAAAUCAGCAAGUCAGAACUGAAUGAAUCCAUGUUGUUGACAUUUUUUUCUUGAGGGGGUUAUUAAUAUCACCGACUGCGUCAAUGGAUUCCUUCACAAACGACCAACUUUCCUCAACUGAGGAACUCAUUGGUUCUGAAAUAAUGCUUCUGCUCUAUUUAUUUGCCUGAUCAGCAUCAGGUUAAUUGAUUAAUUAUGUUACUGUGAUCUGGAUUUGUUUAAUAAAGGAAGCAUUCUGAAUAAAAUUUGUGUCGUCAAUUAGACAAAAUAUAUCUCUAUCGUCAUGUUUGUCAAAUAAAAUACUUGUAAUUUUCAA